UUUAGAAAAACAGGUCAUUUUGACUGUUGAGAAAUUCUAUGUCCAUUAGAAGGUAUCUUUUGAAGAAGAUUGCUCUUAUGUUCAACUGACUUGGUCAUUGCCAUUUAGAAACAUUUAUUUUUAAUUGGAAGAUCAUUGGAAGCUACAGGUAAAAGGAUGACACUAGAACCCUUCCCAACUCCAUACAGAAAAGAAACUCAAAAUGGAUUAACAACUUAAAUGAAGGCCAGAAUCCAUGAAACUCUUAGAGGAAAACAUAGGCAGUACACUCUUUGAUGUACAUCACAGCACGAUCCUCUUUGAUCCACCUCCUAGAGUAUUGGAAAUAAAAACAAAAUAAACAAAUCCGACUUAAUUCAACUAAAAGUCACAGCAUUGUUCCUGGGUUGACAGCACUGCCUGAGAGCCCGUGUCAGGCCACCUCCCAGCUGCCUGCAGCCGCAGCGUUGCCACGCCUUAGAAGGGUGUAUGUCAGCAAAGAACAAUGUUUUGACUUCUCACCAUAAUACAGUCUUACUUUGCAUAAGGUAAGCCCAACCCUUGAGAAAACAAGCUAUGAAAUGACCGCUUAAAUCUUCCUCUGGGUUCACUUCACUAGCCCAGAUAAUUGCACAGGAAACCAGACCAAUGGGCUGACAGGGACUGAGCAAACAGUUCUUUCCACAGAGAUUCCUGAAUCCCUAAUAAAACCAACAGAAGACAGAUGAACACCACAUACAGGUGCCUCUGGAAUGAAGAGUACCCAGCUAACAUAUAAGCAUCUAAACUUGACAUCCUAAAAAAUACUUAGUAGAAUUAAAACAACUAUGUGACAAGAAGUGAAAUGAUAGUGAUUGUGUUUCAAGAACCAGGUUACCGAAGUAAGGCCACCUGUCCCUCAUGAGGCUAAAGGUGUAAGGUUGCCGUCAUCCAAGCAUGGUCCAACUCCUCCCCCCCAACUCCUCCUCCCACUCCUGCCCUGCGCUUAUCUCUCUCUUUCUCUCUUUUUGUCAACAUUCCUCCUCUCUGGUACAGAGGUCCACAAUUUUUAGGUAGUUCAGGAUCUCCGUUCUCCUCUUCUGUCUCAAUCCCACAGUGAGACAGCUGCACUAUUUGGGGUAAAUCCUUAAUGCACUGGUGCCUGGAAGCUGCCUGCAUGAAGUAAGCUGGAUAAUGUUAGUGCUCAUCUCAUCUGUUUUCCUUCUCUCUGUGCUACCUGAUGUUCAAGGUCCAAAAAUAGUUUUCCAGUUGGAAGAUCAACUCUACGGAUAUCAGUGCAAAAGAAGUCACAUAUGUUAUUUUUAUUCUGUUUUACAAAUCUGCCAUUCCAUGAUAAAUCAGGAUAAUAACCUUAUCACUUAACUAGACAUUAUUUGACACCUGCCUUACAAAAAAUUUUCUCCACAGCAUGUUGACAGAGUCAACAUGAAUAUAACUACUUCAGAGAAAUGACUUGGGUUGAGGAGGAAGCACUUUCCACACAGAGGGCUCCUUCUCUGACCCAUGGGAAUCGGAGACAGACACAAGGAAGGAACCUCUGACUAUUCCAUCUAGAAAUUGUAACUGGGGUUUCUGGUGAAGCUAGAGAUACCUGUACCAUGCAAAAAAUUAUGGAAGUAAUAAUAGAAUAUUUCCCUCAGCACGCUUAUGUUUAGGACUCUCUUCUUAGGGUCCUGUCCCAUUCUCCUGUAUGUACCCCACAAGCUAUUACCAGGAGGAAUAGGUCAGACAACACUGUGGUGCAAUUUUCACGAUCACCACCAGAGGGCGGGGCUUCCUUCAGUUGCGGUUCCUCAUUGUAUUCAGGAGCUGGUUUCACUUGCCUGCUUGUAGCCACAAGACAGAAUAUUGCUGCAGUACAGAAAGGCGCUCUCAAGUUUCUGAGCGAGGAGCUUCUGUAACAUCCAGAUGAAGACUAGAUUUGUUAGACUGGUGUAUUGCAGGGAACAAGGAUCGUUUUCUUUUGCGAACAUGCAUUCUGUCACUCAGUCAGUUCUUCUGAUCAUCUUAAUAUUCAGAGGGACCAAUGGUGACUCAGUGAACCAGACAGAAGGCCCAGUGACUGUCUCAGAGGGGGCUCUCAUGACCCUGAACUGCACUUACCAGACUGCUGAUUUUUCUGCCUAUGUUUUCUGGUACGUCCAGCAUCUCAACAAAGCUCCUCAACUCCUCCUGAAGGGUUUAACAGCAGACAAGAAGGUAGAGCAUGAAGGUUUUCAGGCCACUCUUGAUAGGAGUGACAGCUCCUUCCACCUGCAGAAACGGGCAGUGCAAGCAUCAGACUCGGCCGUGUACUACUGUGCUCUGAGUGACACAGUGAGAGAGGGCUGCAGGGGAGCUGAGCACAAACCCCGAGUGCAGAUGGGGCUCUGGCUGUGGGCAGCCCUGCAAGGGGUUGUUGUUUCUCUCUCCAGUGUGCUAUGCUAGAGGUAUUGUCAAAGCACUUCCAGGUCUGCUCCUCAGAGCCAAGGACCUAGGAAUUCUUCAGUUGCUCUACAGAGAGGAAUCUGGAGAGGGACAGUGCAAAAAGGAACCUAAGAAGUUUUCUCCAGAAAUGCCUGUUUUCAGCCCAUCGACAUCCCCCUAGAUAGAAUCCCUUAAAGUGACAUUAACUCUUCAAUGACAAUUCAGAUUAUAUAUGCUGAAAUAUUUCACAAUGUGUUAAGGAAUAUUCCAGGGCACAUUGUUGAUGGAUGACUGUGUGACCUGGAAGCUAGUCUCUUGUUUUUAAAAUUCAGGCCAAGAUUGUGUAUCCUGCUGAGUUUCACCUGCAGACACUCCAUCUUCAGUGACUGGAGCUUUAUUCUCUCUUUUCUUGACUUUUCCAUCCCUUCUGGUUGCUCCAGAAAUCCUGCUGCCUAAGUAAGUUCCAGGAGGAGAGUUUCUGAGAAGAUAUUCCUUCUGUCAAGGGCCCUGUGGAUCAGAGCAGCCCACUCUGUAAAUAUCGCAGGUGUUGUGUGUAUUGUUUGUAUUCAAACUGGGUACAGGAUAUUCUCUUUGCUAAUAACCUCUUCUCACGGAAAUGAAUGCCAAAGAAUGUUCAAAUUACCAUACAAUUGCACUCAUUUCAAAUGUUAGCAAGAUUAUGCUCAAAAUCCUUCAAGCUAUGCUUCAGCAGUACAUGAAC
Non-coding RNA from Bubalus bubalis (water buffalo), 3106 nucleotides. NCBI's taxonomy places the organism in Eukaryota, Metazoa, Chordata, Mammalia, Artiodactyla, Bovidae. The record is from the annotation of a RefSeq genome assembly.